UGCGAGUCGUGCGGCCCGGUCAGCGGGCAGCGGCGUACGGCUCCGUAAUACGUGGUCAACCUACUCGGAGCACCGGGAUACCCGCUGGGAAACUGCGGCUAAUCCCGGAUAGGCGAGGAGGCUUGGAACACCCUCUCGUUGAAAGGCCGGGUUAACGAUGCUUAGCUCGGCGGCUCCGAAUGGGACCACGGCCGAUCAGGUUGUUGGUGAGGUAACGGCUCACCAAGCCUAAGACCGGUACGGGCCCUGAGAGGGGGAGCCCGGAGAUGGAGACUGAGACAAGGCUCCAGGCCCUACGGGGCGCAGCAGGUACGAAACUUUUGCAAUGCGCGAAAGCGUGACAAAGUCAUCCCGAGUGCCACCCGCUGAGGGUGGCUUUUCCACAGUCUAAAAAGCUGUGGGAAUAAGGGGAGGGUAAGUCGGGUGUCAGCCGCCGCGGUAAUACCCGCUCCCCGAGUGGUGGGGGCUUUUACUGAGCUUAAAGCGCCCGUAGCCGGUCAUGCGUGUCUCCAGUUAAAUCCAGCAGCCUAACUGCUGGGCCGCUGGAGAUACUGUAUGACUUGGAGGCGGGAGAGGCUACCGGUAGUCCCGGGGUAGGAGUGAAAUCCUCUGAUCCUGGGAGGACCUGCAGUGGCGAAGGCGGGUAGCCAGAACGCGCUCGACGGUGAGGGGCGAAAGCUGGGGGAGCGAACCGGAUUAGAUACCCGGGUAGUCCCAGCCGUAAACGAUGCGGGCUAGGUGUCGGUGCGGGUACGGCCUGCACCGGUGCC
This 770-nucleotide ribosomal RNA is filed under the name uncultured archaeon. RNAcentral describes it as "bacterial SSU rRNA". It matches the Rfam family "Archaeal small subunit ribosomal RNA", at positions 52 to 802 of the family's 1478-position model. The record is from RNAcentral.